GACGAACGCUGGCGGCGUGCUUAACACAUGCAAGUCGAACGGGAUUUAGUAAACGGAAGCCUCGGUGGAAGAUUACUAAUGAGAGUGGCGAACGGGUGAGUAACGCGUGGGCAACCUGCCUAUGACAGUGGGAUAGCCUCGGGAAACCGGGAUUAAUACCGCAUAAAAUCGUAGAAACACAUGUUUCAACGGUCAAAGAUUUAUCGGUCAUAGAUGGGCUCGCGUCUGAUUAGCUAGUUGGUGAGAUAACAGCCCACCAAGGCGACGAUCAGUAGCCGGUCUGAGAGGAUGAACGGCCACAUUGGAACUGAGACACGGUCCAAACUCCUACGGGAGGCAGCAGUAGGGAAUAUUGCACAAUGGGGGAAACCCUGAUGCAGCGACGCCGCGUGAACGAAGAAGGUAUUCGUAUCGUAAAGUUCUGUCCUAUGGGAAGAUAAUGACAGUACCAUAGAAGAAAGCUCCGGCUAAAUACGUG
RNAcentral lists this ribosomal RNA (478 nucleotides) under uncultured bacterium. RNAcentral describes it as "partial 16S ribosomal RNA". It matches the Rfam family "Bacterial small subunit ribosomal RNA", at positions 28 to 507 of the family's 1533-position model. The record is from RNAcentral.